ACGCUCGACACCUACUGGAGGCAGCAGUGGGGAAUAUUGGGCAAUGGAGGCAACUCUGACCCAGCAACGCCGCGUGAAUGAUGAAGGUCUUCGGAUUGUAAAGUUCUGUGACGGGGGACGAACACAAUGACGGUACCCCGAUAGCAAGCCACGGCUAACUACGUGUCAGCAGCCGCGGUAAUCUGAGCGGGCUGGCAAGGC
RNAcentral lists this ribosomal RNA (201 nucleotides) under uncultured bacterium. RNAcentral's name for it is "partial 16S ribosomal RNA". It matches the Rfam family "Bacterial small subunit ribosomal RNA", at positions 328 to 539 of the family's 1533-position model. The record is from RNAcentral.